This 1823-nucleotide long non-coding RNA is filed under the name Homo sapiens (human). RNAcentral describes it as "HSALNT0357418". Lineage: Eukaryota; Metazoa; Chordata; Mammalia; Primates; Hominidae. The record is from RNAcentral.
GACACCAUAGAGGUGGGCCUUUGGCGAGUCACAGGCGCGGGUGUUCGGCUACGUCACUGGGGCGCUACGGUGCCUGGAGCUGGGCAGUCUUCUCGUCAGAGUGGGGACUGGUAAGAGCGACCUCACCGCCAGGUCCUGUGUGUUGCCGGCUGAAGAAGGGUAGCUGAAAAAUUCAGACCCAGCACAGUGUUUAUGUUGGUCAAAAAUAGAAAACUAUGUCUGCCGCGGCCGAGGCAGGAGGACCCUUCAGGCCAAGAGCAGCCUAGCAACAUGGCGCAACCCCAUCUCUGUAGUCCUACCUCAGCCCCCCAGCUACUUGAACCCAAAGGUUCAAGGCUCCAGUGAGCUAUGAUCCCACCACAGCAUUCCAGCCUGCGAGAUUGAGAUGAUGAUUAUUCCCCACCUUCUAAGAGACAAAGACCAACGAUCCACCACAGCCACCAGUCCCAGAACCCGCCAAUGCUGGGGAAUGGAAAAUGAGGGAGUUCAACUCUGGCCCUCACAAUCCAGUGGAGGAGACGAAACUCAUCUGCCUCUGUCCCUCUGGGCACGCCUCAUGCCAGGUGCAUCUGUGGACAGGGGCCAUGCUCCUGGGCUUCCAAAGUUGGAGAAAGCUGCCAGGCUCAGGUCUGAAGGCCAGAAUUCUACAGUAAGUCCUACUGAGUCAAGGUGGGAGCAGGGUCGGUGGCUUCCGAGGCUCUGCGGGAGAAUCCGUUUCCUGGCCGUAGAGGUGGCCUGCACUCCUCAGCUUGUGCUGCCCGUCUCGAAUGACUGGAGUUUCCUGCUUCUGUCACUACACCUCCCACCCUCUCCAUCACCUGCUCUGCUCUUAUAAGGAUCCGAAGAAAUGGAAUCAUCGUAUCGCUGAUCUGCGUAAACAAAUUGAAGAAUUGUCUGAAAGAAAAUAUGACAUGAACUUAUGAAUUCAACAGGUAAAGAUUUACAACUUGAUAAAUCAACUUUGUGAGCUCGAGCUGUAAAAGCCAAAGGUCCAGUGAUGAUCCCAUACCCUUUUGUCCAGUCUCAUGUUGAAGAUUUUUAUGUAGAAGGCCUUCCCAAAGGAAUUUUUUUUUUUUUUUUGAGAUGGAGUUUUCACUCUUAUCGCCCAGGCUGGGGUGCAAUGGCGCAACCUUGCUGGUCACUGCAACCUCUGCCUCCUGGGUUCAAGAAAUUCUCUUGCCUUAGCCUCCCAAGUUGCUGGGAUUACAGGUGCCCACCACCACACCAGGCUAAUUUUUGUAUUUUUAGUGGAGAUGGGGUUUCACCAUGUUGGCCGGGCCAGUCUCGAACUCCUGACGUCAAGUGAUCUUCCCGCCUCGACUCCUGACAUCAAGUGAUCUUCCCACCUCGGCCUCCAAGAGUGCUGAGAUUACAGAUGUGAACCCAUGCCUGGCCAGGAAUUUUGUUUUUUAGGAAGGCUUUCUACUAAUGGAAUUCCUGGCCUUGAGAGGAUGUUACUUUCGAAGGAAAGGAUUUUUUUGUUAUUAAAAGAGCCACCUAAGCUGAAGAUUCCCUUGAGAACAAGUACUGUCCUGCGGUUUCAUGGCCUUUCUUCCAUUUGUGGUUCUUGUGAAGUGGAAUUUAAAUGACAUCAAGAUGGAUAAACCCUAGUUUCCCAGUGCUGGAAUAUAGAAAAUGGAUGGACAAGUAAAUCCCACUCAGCACCCAUAGUCCAGGCAUGGGGAUCUCAACACACCUGAGCCCCAGACAUCACCUUUCAUUCUGGACCUACCAUGAAAGACUUCUGAAUCCAGGAAGAGAAACUGACUGGGCAACAUGUUAUUCAGGUGCCCAGGUUUCAUAUUGUUUAAACAACUUGUGCA